AAGCGUCCAGUCGUCUACGCGAGCGACGCUCUCACCUCUGUGAGACUGCGACCAGUCAACCCAUCCUCUCUACGGGAACCCUACCCUAAGCAGCUAAGCGCGACGGCGGCGGCUGGUCAGGUCGCAGGACCAGGCGGGGCAGCUGAUGGCGGCGGCUGGUCAGGUCGCAGCUCGCAGGACCAGGCGGGGCAGCCGACGAAGGGGCAGCCAGCGGCGGCGGUGGCUUAGUCAGUUCGCCGGACGCCAGGACGAGGCGGGACUGGCGGGCAGCUGUGGCAGGGCAGCCGGGCAGCCGCGACAGGGCAGGGCACGCGACGGCAAGCGGCAAGGCCUAGGCACUCCUAGCAGCAGCAGCAAUAGCGCAAGCUCCGGCCAGAUUGCGAGAAGCUGGAAAGAAAGGGCAAGGGAAUAGCAAAUCCAAAGGAAAGGGGAGGAGGUACAUAUAUGAAGUACAUCUGUAACCCCUAUAUAUACUGAGGAGAGGGUGUGGUCUGCCAUUGCCUCAGAUUGCCUCUAGAACUAUCUCUUAAUCUCGUAUACAGUUCUU
Hordeum vulgare subsp. vulgare (domesticated barley) is the source of this 547-nucleotide long non-coding RNA. RefSeq lists it as uncharacterized. The record is from RefSeq and is a predicted model, not a curated record. NCBI's taxonomy places the organism in Eukaryota, Viridiplantae, Streptophyta, Magnoliopsida, Poales, Poaceae. The transcript has 3 exons.